UGGAGUUGGUGGGCAGACCCAAAUCAUGAUGCAAGCCUGCAGUAGCAAGUGUGCAAUGAAGCACAACCAAAUUCUGUGAAUGGAAGGUAGCAAGACGCCUCUCCAAAGCAGCCCUUCUGCGCAGGAGCUGAAAGCUCCACUGGAAAGAAGACAUAGCUCAUCCAGCAAGCCGCCUUUGGCCGUUCCUCCCACUUCAGUAUUUUCCUUCUUCCCUUCUCUGUCCAAAAGCAAAGGAGGCAGUGCAAGUGGAAGCAACCGUUCUUCCAGUGGAGGUGUUCUUAGCGCAUCCUCAUCAAGUUCCAAGUUGUUGAAAUCACCCAAAGAGAAACUGCAGCUCAGGGGGAACACCAGGCCAAUGCAUCCCAUUCAGCAAAGUAGAGUUCCCCAUGGUAGAAUCAUGACACCCUCUGUGAAAGUGGAAAAGAUUCAUCCGAAAAUGGAUGGCACACUACUGAAAUCUGCGGUGGGGCCAACCUGUCCUGCUACUGUGAGUUCCUUAGUCAAGCCUGGCCUUAACUGCCCCUCAAUACCAAAGCCAACCUUGCCUUCACCUGGACAGAUUCUGAAUGGCAAAGGGCUUCCUGCACCGCCCACUCUGGAAAAGAAACCUGAAGACAAUUCCAAUAAUAGGAAAUUUUUAAAUAAGAGAUUAUCAGAAAGAGAGUUUGAUCCUGACAUCCACUGUGGGGUUAUUGAUCUCGACACCAAGAAGCCCUGCACCCGGUCUUUGACAUGCAAGACACAUUCCUUAACCCAGCGCAGGGCUGUCCAGGGUAGAAGAAAACGAUUUGAUGUGUUAUUAGCCGAGCACAAAAACAAAACCAGGGAAAAGGAAUUGAUUCGCCAUCCGGACUCUCAGCAACCACCGCAGCCUCUCAGGGACCCGCAUCCCGCCCCUCCUAGAACGUCACAGGAGCCGCACCAAAACCCUCACGGAGUGAUUCCUUCCGAAUCAAAGCCUUUUGUAGCUAGUAAACCUAAACCUCACACCCCCAGUCUUCCAAGGUAAGCCAGGCCCUCCAACUCUUUCUCCCACCUUCAGAGAUGAGACUUGCAGAUACUGUAAAAUUUCAGUAUGGUCAUGCUGUUGAGAAACAUAUCUCAGGCUCACUGUGGAGAUAGUUUUUUAAGGAGUUUUACUAUG
Molecule: long non-coding RNA, 1144 nt
Filed under: Homo sapiens (human)
Lineage: Eukaryota; Metazoa; Chordata; Mammalia; Primates; Hominidae
Description: long non-coding RNA NONHSAT193973.1
Source: RNAcentral